AGUCGAGGGGCAGCACGAAUAGCAAUAUUUGGUGGCGACCGGCGCACGGGUGCGUAACACGUAUACAACCUACCUAUAACAGGGGGAUAGCCUUUCGAAAGAGAGAUUAAUACCCCGUAAUAAAUUUGAUGGCAUCAUUAGAUUUUGAAAGCUCCGGCGGUUAUAGAUGGGUAUGCGUCUGAUUAGCUAGUUGGUGUGGUAAUGGCUCACCAAGGCGACGAUCAGUAGGGGAUCUGAGAGGACUAACCCCCACACUGGUACUGAGACACGGACCAGACUCCUACGGGAGGCAGCAGUAAGGAAUAUUGGUCAAUGGAGGCAACUCUGAACCAGCCAUGCCGCGUGCAGGAUGACGGCCCUAUGGGUUGUAAACUGCUUUUGUACCAGAGAAAACCCCAGUACGUGUACUGGGUUGAUAGUAUGGUAAGAAUAAGCAUCGGCUAACUUCGUGCCAGCAGCCGCGGUAAGACGAAGGAUGCAAGCGUUAUCCGGAUUCAUUGGGUUUAAAGGGUGCGUAGGCGGACUUGUAAGUCAGUGGUGAAAUCUCUCAGCUUAACUGAGAAACUGCCAUUGAUACUGCAGGUCUAGAGUAUAGAUGACGUUGGCGGAAUAUGACAUGUAGUGGUGAAAUACUUAGAUAUGUCAUAGAACACCGAUUGCGAAGGCAGCUAACGAAACUAUAACUGACGCUGAGGCACGAAAGUGCGGGGAUCAAACAGGAUUAGAUACCCUGGUAGUCCGCACCGUAAACGAUGAUUACUCGUUGUUGGCGAUAUGACAGUCAGCGACCAAGCGAAAGCGAUAAGUAAUCCACCUGGGGAGUACGCCGGCANCGGUGAAACUCAAAGGAAUUGACGGGGGCCCGCACAAGCGGAGGAGCAUGUGGUUUAAUUCGAUGAUACGCGAGGAACCUUACCUGGGCUUGAAAGUUAGCGACCGGUC
RNAcentral lists this ribosomal RNA (942 nucleotides) under uncultured bacterium. Its description in RNAcentral is "bacterial SSU rRNA". It matches the Rfam family "Bacterial small subunit ribosomal RNA", at positions 60 to 1000 of the family's 1533-position model. The record is from RNAcentral.